AGUUAAUGAACUUGUUAUAAGUAUAUGUUUUGAAAACAUAAUAAAGAAUUAAAUUUUCUAUUAACUU
This 67-nucleotide transfer RNA is filed under the name Pterostichus niger. RNAcentral's name for it is "tRNA-Ser". Lineage: Eukaryota; Metazoa; Arthropoda; Insecta; Coleoptera; Carabidae. The record is from RNAcentral.